Molecule: long non-coding RNA, 943 nt
Filed under: Homo sapiens (human)
Lineage: Eukaryota; Metazoa; Chordata; Mammalia; Primates; Hominidae
Description: SRD5A3 antisense RNA 1 (SRD5A3-AS1)
Source: RNAcentral
AAGAGGUCUGCAGUGAAGGUCCCAAAGUCCCAGACAACUUGAAGAAGCUGAGUGAGAAGGCCAUGCAGAUAUCUUGGAGAAGUGCAUUCCAGGCAGAGGAAAAGCCAGUGCAGAGACACUGAAGCAGGGCAUGACUGAUGUGUAUAAGGAGCAUCAUAUACAUGAUCAUCUACAGUCCACUGAGGAGAAUAGCAGACGAGAGGCCAGGUGCAGUGCAUGUAAUCCCAGCACUUUGGGAGACUGAGAUGGGAAGAUCGCUUGAGGCCAGGAGUGCAAGACCAGCCUGGGCAACACAGCAAGACCUUGAUUCUACUAAAAAAAAAAAAGGAUCCUUCAACUUCAACAAUAAUAACACAAGGGAAGUGAAGAAAAACACUUUCUAAGGAAAUCUCUCUCUGAGCUACCAUCCUGCUAGGGAGAGCCUGAAAGCAGAAUGCUGACUUGACUAGCUCUGGUCAAUGAAAGAAAUCACCAGUGGAAAGGCUACCAGGGGGCUUUCUCAAAAGAGAGGGACAGUAAACUGCAAGAUGAACAACUCAAUGCCAUCCAGGUCUGGAUGAGAAAGAACAGUCGAGAGACUGAGUUUCAGGAGUGGAAACACUCAAAGCAUCAUCUUCCACUUUCUUCUCCGGCUGCUAGGAAGAAGGGAAAAACACAGACCUUCUGAGGACCUGCGGAGCAAACCACUGGCUUCAGAAAAGCAAACAGGGACUUCCCUCUGCGCAGCAGGAAGCAGUUAGCCUAGUCGGAGGCUUGACUGAAGAAACAAAUGUAUCCACUGAUAAUGGGCAAGAGCCUGAGGCUCUGGAGCCAAGGGGGAACCCUAAAAAGCUGAUUCAAGUAAGAGAACCAAGGAUCAUGCAAUUCCACAUGGCCACCUCGAAGCAGGAAUCCGUUAAUGAUAGUAAAGGACUGAUGAAAAUCCAAAAAAAAAAAAAAAAAA